GCGGAGGGCUGGAUGACCGCGAGGGGUAACCUUCGAGGAAAGUCCGGACUCCCUGAAGCAACGGUGCCGGGUAACGCCNNNNNNNNNNNNNNAAGCGCCACAGAAAUCAGACUACCCGCCCCCGGGCGGGAAAAGGUGAAAAGGUGGGGUAAGAGCCCACCGCGGACCGGGCAACCGGGACGGCAUGGCAAGCCCCACCGGGAGCAACGCCGAAUAGGGGCCUCGCGCGGGUUGAUCGGGACACCGAUAUCACCGCAGGGACGCUUCGACCCGAGAGGCCCGGGUUGGCGGCUGGAGCGCGGGAGUAACCCUGCGCCGAGAGGAAUGGUCAUCCACGGGGCGAAAGCCCCGGGACAGAAUCCGGCUUACAGGCCCUCCGCGCAA
This 384-nucleotide RNase P RNA is filed under the name Paracoccaceae bacterium. RNAcentral describes it as "Rhodobacteraceae bacterium (activated sludge metagenome) RNase P RNA component class A". It matches the Rfam family "Bacterial RNase P class A". Rfam says of the family: Ribonuclease P (RNase P) is a ubiquitous endoribonuclease, found in archaea, bacteria and eukarya as well as chloroplasts and mitochondria. Its best characterised activity is the generation of mature 5'-ends of tRNAs by cleaving the 5'-leader elements of precursor-tRNAs. Lineage: Bacteria; Pseudomonadati; Pseudomonadota; Alphaproteobacteria; Rhodobacterales; Paracoccaceae. The record is from RNAcentral.